This 497-nucleotide ribosomal RNA is filed under the name uncultured bacterium. RNAcentral's name for it is "partial 16S ribosomal RNA". It matches the Rfam family "Bacterial small subunit ribosomal RNA", at positions 28 to 507 of the family's 1533-position model. The record is from RNAcentral.
GAUGAACGCUGGCGGCGUGCCUAAUACAUGCAAGUCGAGCGAACGGACGAGAAGCUUGCUUCUCUGAUGUUAGCGGCGGACGGGUGAGUAACACGUGGAUAACCUACCUAUAAGACUGGGAUAACUUCGGGAAACCGGAGCUAAUACCGGAUAAUAUUUUGAACCGCAUGGUUCAAAAGUGAAAGACGGUCUUGCUGUCACUUAUAGAUGGAUCCGCGCUGCAUUAGCUAGUUGGUAAGGUAACGGCUUACCAAGGCAACGAUGCAUAGCCGACCUGAGAGGGUGAUCGGCCACACUGGAACUGAGACACGGUCCAGACUCCUACGGGAGGCAGCAGUAGGGAAUCUUCCGCAAUGGGCGAAAGCCUGACGGAGCAACGCCGCGUGAGUGGUGAAGGUCUUCGGAUCGUAAAACUCUGUUAUUAGGGAAGAACAUAUGUGUAAGUAACUGCGCACAUCUUGACGGUACCUAAUCAGAAAGCCACGGCUAACUACGUG